RNAcentral lists this ribosomal RNA (440 nucleotides) under uncultured bacterium. RNAcentral describes it as "partial 16S ribosomal RNA". It matches the Rfam family "Bacterial small subunit ribosomal RNA", at positions 338 to 795 of the family's 1533-position model. The record is from RNAcentral.
CCUACGGGAGGCAGCAGUGGGGGAUAUUGCACAAUGGGGGAAACCCUGAUGCAGCAACGCCGCGUGUGGGAAGAAGGUUUUCGGAGUGUAAACCACUGUGCUUGGUGAAGAAAAUGACGGUACCUGACUAAGAAGCCCCGGCUAACUACGUGCCAGCAGCCGCGGUAAUACGUAGGGGGACAGCGUUAUCCGGAUUUACUGGGGGUAAAGGGAGCGGCGACGGCAGCGCAAGUCUGAAGUGAAAUCCCAGGGCUUAACCAUGGAACUGCUUUGGAAACUGUGCAGCUGGAGUGCAGGAGAGGUAAGCGGAAUUCCUAGUGUAGCGGUGAAAUGCGUAGAUAUUAGGAGGAACACCAGUGGCGAAGGCGGCUUACUGGACUGUAACUGACGUUGAGGCUCGAAAGCGUGGGGAGCAAACAGGAUUAGAUACCCGAGUAGUC